AAAACGGUAGGUGAGGUUACCGUAGGGAUUUGGAAUUCCUAAGAUUGCUGCCGCAAAGCUGUGGAGACACAACGAGUUGGUUAACAGGUGAAAUCGCGAAGGUUUUACUUAAUGCAAUUUUUAUGCCCUACGAAGCUAAAGCUUGAACGAAAA
This 153-nucleotide small RNA is filed under the name uncultured Beduini sp. RNAcentral describes it as "M-box riboswitch (ykoK leader)". It matches the Rfam family "M-box riboswitch aptamer (ykoK leader)". Rfam says of the family: M-box riboswitch, also know as ykoK leader is described as a metaloregulatory RNA that sense divalent metals and function as a genetic control element of genes related to divalent metal transport in bacteria. It was first reported upstream of the B.subtilis ykoK gene and genes with related functions in other bacteria. Lineage: Bacteria; Bacillati; Bacillota; Erysipelotrichia; Erysipelotrichales; Erysipelotrichaceae. The record is from RNAcentral.